CAAAGAGGAGAUAACAUCUUGUCAAAUGCAAAACGUUAAGGAAGAGAAAUUGCAGACAGAUUCCAAUGAAGGUGCAUCUGAAGAUGAUGCAUCCAAAAAUGAGUGUCCAACACAAGAAAUCAAAAAUGCAACUGUCCAUACUGAAGAGGUUAAGGAUUACCCCAGGGUAAACUUCAUGUCUUUGACGGUAAAUGGCCUGAGGGUGCUGUUCGCUAAAACCGUGACGAUCAACAUGAUGAUGACGAUCAAGGCCAUGGUGUUCUAGGGAUGUGUUGGAACAAAGGGUUCGUGUUUUUACAGAAGAACAGUGGGAUGGAUGGUAGCCUCACUGAAUGGACCAGAUUUAUCCUUUUAUACUACUUCAGAGCUUUGCUGUAUUACUGUAUUUUUGUGCAGUUAACGAAUGAG
Megalops cyprinoides (Indo-Pacific tarpon) is the source of this 408-nucleotide long non-coding RNA. RefSeq lists it as uncharacterized. NCBI's taxonomy places the organism in Eukaryota, Metazoa, Chordata, Actinopteri, Elopiformes, Megalopidae. The transcript has 4 exons. The record is from RefSeq and is a predicted model, not a curated record.